This 179-nucleotide ribosomal RNA is filed under the name Ruellia leucantha. RNAcentral's name for it is "5.8S ribosomal RNA". The stretch from base 15 to 170 matches the Rfam family "5.8S ribosomal RNA". From Rfam's summary of the family: 5.8S ribosomal RNA (5.8S rRNA) is a component of the large subunit of the eukaryotic ribosome. It is transcribed by RNA polymerase I as part of the 45S precursor that also contains 18S and 28S rRNA. The record is from RNAcentral. Lineage: Eukaryota; Viridiplantae; Streptophyta; Magnoliopsida; Lamiales; Acanthaceae.
UUGAAUGUCAAAACGACUCUCGGCAACGGAUAUCUCGGCUCUCGCAUCGAUGAAGAACGUAGCGAAAUGCGAUACUUGGUGUGAAUUGCAGAAUCCCGUGAACCAUCGAGUCUUUGAACGCAAGUUGCGCCCAAAGCCUUCGGGCCGAGGGCACGCCUGCCUGGGCGUCACGCAUCGCG